Molecule: ribosomal RNA, 466 nt
Filed under: uncultured bacterium
Lineage: Bacteria
Description: partial 16S ribosomal RNA
Rfam family: Bacterial small subunit ribosomal RNA
Source: RNAcentral
GACGAACGCUGGCGGCGUGCUUAACACAUGCAAGUCGAACGGAAAGGCCCUGCUUUUGUGGGGUGCUCGAGUGGCGAACGGGUGAGUAACACGUGAGUAACCUGCCCUUGACUUUGGGAUAACUUCAGGAAACUGGGGCUAAUACCGGAUAGGAGCUCCUGCUGCAUGGUGGGGGUUGGAAAGUUUCGGCGGUUGGGGAUGGACUCGCGGCUUAUCAGCUUGUUGGUGGGGUAGUGGCUUACCAAGGCUUUGACGGGUAGCCGGCCUGAGGGGGUGACCGGCCACAUUGGGACUGAGAUACCGCCCAGACUACUACGGGGGGCAGCAGUGGGGAAUAUUGCACCAUGGGCGGAAGACUGAUGCAGCAACGCCGCGUGGGGGAUGAAGGCCUUCGGGUUGUAAAACGGUUUCGCCUGAGACGAAGCGUGAGUGACGGUAAUGGGUAAAAAAGCACCGGAUAAAUACG